This 74-nucleotide transfer RNA is filed under the name Phytohabitans rumicis. RNAcentral's name for it is "tRNA-Thr". It matches the Rfam family "tRNA". Rfam says of the family: Transfer RNA (tRNA) molecules are approximately 80 nucleotides in length. Their secondary structure includes four short double-helical elements and three loops (D, anti-codon, and T loops). Lineage: Bacteria; Bacillati; Actinomycetota; Actinomycetes; Micromonosporales; Micromonosporaceae. The record is from RNAcentral.
GCCAGCGCAGCACGACAGGUGGUGCACCGGAUUCGUAACCCGGAGGUAGGGCGUUCGAGCCGCCCCGCUGGCUC